This is a long non-coding RNA of Manis pentadactyla (Chinese pangolin), 409 nucleotides long. RefSeq lists it as uncharacterized. The transcript is spliced from 4 exons. Lineage: Eukaryota; Metazoa; Chordata; Mammalia; Pholidota; Manidae. The record is from RefSeq and is a predicted model, not a curated record.
CUCCUUAAAUGCAGCCAUUACCUCAGAACUGAAGUUCUCAGUUUCCAGAACUCCCCACAUGGACUGGAACUUGGAAAAGAGUUUAUGCACAAACAACUUGAAGCAAACUGAGUCUUCAAAUAUCAGCAUUUUUAACAUCAGACAAGACCUGGAUAUAGCUGUGCAAUAAUCCAGGAGGUCAGUGUCCGAGUCAUGGGAUCGCGAGCACCUUGCCGACCCUCUCUGAGCCAGCCCUGCAUCAUCCAUAAGAGUCUGGGCACAUAGGAGUUGAUCACUAUUUCUUGAAAAAGAAGGCAUAAAUGAAUAUAGAAUAAUGAAACUUAAUUCUUAAAAAUGAAAUUCAAGAAUCUUCUGGAUAUUCUGCUGUGAAUAAAGUGGACAGCAACUGACAACUGGCACACAUUUUCAU